ACAAUAACAAAGAUAUAUAGCUGACAAGAGGUCAUCAUCCUGUCAUGUCUACAGAUGGUUCUGCUGCUGCCAACACAAAUACAUCACCCAGAGCCCACCCACACAACAGACACAGUCACAGCCUUUAUUAAAUAAAAACUCACAAUUUACACUGAGUAUCCUGACCAGGGCUAAAAAAGAGAGAGCUCAAAUAAAUAAACAAUCAAUCCAGGAUCCAGAAACACACUGCACAGCUGCAUCAACCUGCCUCGAGGACACAGACAGAGUGAAAGAAACCACGUGACGUCAGCUGACCUGCUCCAGCAGGAUUCUUUUUUACAAACAAGAAAAACUUUAAUCAGUUAAACAAAAACGAACACUGCAGGUCAGCAGAUAACGGCUCUGUGCUGCCCGGAGGGCUGUUAACGGCAGCUAAACCUGACGAAGCAGGCACAGGAGGAAAGGGGCAGCGGUGUUGCCCAGCAACGAGUUGUAAUGGUGACGUAAUCCCUGCCCAGUGCGUCCGCCGACAGUCAGAGCCCUGUGAGUGGCUAGGAUUAGCAGAGGGAAGCGUCUUCAAUGACGUCUUGAGCUUGGGGUUGCCUGGCAACGGGACUUUCAUUCCCGCGAUAGACUCCCCGCUCGACUAAGCAGGCUGACGUCACCACUCCGCGACCUGGAUGCCGCACAGUUGGUCACGCUGUAGCCGCUGACGCCUGGACAGGUGAGUAUGAUUCCAUUAAUGAGUGCUUGUUUGGGAGGGUAUAAAUAUGUUUCCUUGUAUGUUAUCACUUGUGUAUGAUCUGUCCCUGAAGACGGGGGUUAGUCCCCAAAACGGCGUAGGACGUCAAUAAAGAUUUAUCACUUGUU
Long non-coding RNA from Pseudophryne corroboree (corroboree frog), 849 nucleotides. RefSeq lists it as uncharacterized. NCBI's taxonomy places the organism in Eukaryota, Metazoa, Chordata, Amphibia, Anura, Myobatrachidae. The record is from RefSeq and is a predicted model, not a curated record. The transcript is spliced from 2 exons.